AUUUAAAUAAUUUAAUUAAAAUAUUGAUUUGUGGAAUCAAAAUUGUCUAGAAACUCAGACUUUAAAUU
This 68-nucleotide transfer RNA is filed under the name Potamyia chinensis. RNAcentral describes it as "tRNA-His". The record is from RNAcentral. Lineage: Eukaryota; Metazoa; Arthropoda; Insecta; Trichoptera; Hydropsychidae.